UGGGGAAUAUUGGACAAUGGGCGCAAGCCUGAUCCAGCCAUGCCGCGUGAGUGAUGAAGGCCCUAGGGUUGUAAAGCUCUUUCACCGGUGAAGAUAAUGACGGUAACCGGAGAAGAAGCCCCGGCUAACUUCGUGCCAGCAGCCGCGGUAAUACGAAGGGGGCUAGCGUUGUUCGGAUUUACUGGGCGUAAAGCGCACGUAGGCGGACUUUUAAGUCAGGGGUGAAAUCCCGGGGCUCAACCCCGGAACUGCCUUUGAUACUGGAAGUCUUGAGUAUGGUAGAGGUGAGUGGAAUUCCGAGUGUAGAGGUGAAAUUCGUAGAUAUUCGGAGGAACACCAGUGGCGAAGGCGGCUCACUGGACAAUUACUGACGCUGAUGUGCGAAAGCGUGGGGAUCAAACAGG
RNAcentral lists this ribosomal RNA (404 nucleotides) under Actinomycetes bacterium. Its description in RNAcentral is "Actinobacteria bacterium partial 16S ribosomal RNA". It matches the Rfam family "Bacterial small subunit ribosomal RNA", at positions 355 to 776 of the family's 1533-position model. The record is from RNAcentral. Lineage: Bacteria; Bacillati; Actinomycetota; Actinomycetes.